CCAGUCCCGGCCCUGCCCCGGGGUCCCGGCCCUGCCCCGGGGUCCCGGCCCCGGCCCCGCGCCACCUGCUGCCCUCGGCCCGCGCGUCCCCACGCCGGCAGCAGGGCUGCGCUGCAGAGGCGGCACCGCGGUGCGUGAGCCGCCCGCUGCAGCAUCCCCACCAGCGCCAGUGUCCCGUGUGGACGUGGGCAGAUUAACAAGUCUCUGUUAAUUAAAAUUGCUGAGCCUUCUGGACCAGACCUUCAAUCAAGGCCAUGGCAUCAAUGGAGCUGAGCACUUCUCCAAACACUGUCUCCAUAGGCAGAGUGCUGGACAUACAACAAGAAGCAACUUAAGCAUGAUGUUAUUUUUAGUUUAUUUCACUUGAAGUCAAAAUGCAGAUCUCGGCUUCUCAGAUGGAGAAAUUAAAUCUCUCUCUUGCUAUAGAAAAAAAAAAGUACCUUAUUUGGGAAAGGAAAGUUUAGAUGAAGUUGAGUAGUCGGACUGAUUAUGGAAAGAAUAAGAGUAUUCAGAAGUAGAUGAGCAAGGAGUUUGUCGCAGGGAGGGAGAAGCAAAGUCUUUUGUGUAUGGUGGUUUAUUGCAGGCUCUAACGGCAUCAGGAUGAUGUUACCAGGGAGCCUCUACACAGUGAAAUAAUUUACUGUCAUCUUUUAUAUCCUGCUAGCACAAUGAUGUAGUCUCCAUAGACCUACUCCGAAAACCACUUUGUUAGCCAAAUUUCAAUCUGUAGUGUUAUGUCAUGUAAGAUAUCAUAAUGCUGCAAAAAAGUAAUGAAAUAAUUGCCAGUUAUUCACAUAAAAUUAUUGUGAAUUGAUAAUAUCUUUCCCUUUCUUUCCUACAUGUCUCAAUGCUGGCAGCUCCCACAGACCUUAAUACUGCAUUGGGCAUGGCUCCUUCCCAGCUCCUCCGAAGCCAGGGAAAAGCUGCAGAGUUGGGCAGUGCCAAAAGCCUGGGUGCCAUCAUUCACUGCUCCCUGUGGCAGCCUGCGCUCCCAGUGGGCUCACUGGCCAAUGUGAGGAUAUGUCCCUCGUAUUUGUGAUACAUCACAAAUCUGGAUCUGAGGGAUGAUCUCACAGCGGGGCUGGGCAUCCCUCCCUCCCUCUAUCCCGCAACCCGGGAGCCACGUGCACUGUUGGGUAAGGUAACAACAAGCCAUCACAGAUAGCCAGAUUUGCACAGCUUGUUGGCCAGUUACAUUCAGAAGAGAAGGUAUAUAAAAAUGGAAUAACAGCUUUUCACCAAAAGAGAACACUUUCCUGUCUCUGUUCUGCUCACAUCUGGUCAUUUUUCUGCAAGAAAUACAUCUUUACAGCUCUUUUACAAGACAGAGCCAAUACAGCUGUAAGGGAGUAAGCUGCUCACUAUACCAGCCUUUUUAUUAUCAGCAGAAUUAUAAACUUAAGUGAAGCUGUGAAAUCUGUUUUACCGAAGAUGCAGGAACCUGAAAGAACUUUGACUUCCACAGCCCAGGAGGAGUUGGAAGAACUGCCACUUAUAUUUAGCCUUUGCUUGAAAAUUGAACAAAAUGGGCACGGAAUCAGUCACAGUAAACCAUAUUUAAGCCUCACUUUUCAGUGUAGAGUAGCACUUUAAGAAUAAUAAAAACGCUACGUCUUUCAUAAGGUAGCAUAAAGGUUCAAAGAAUUUACUGAUUUUUUUUUUCAAUGAAGAUGCAUUAAGCAAAUAUUGCCUUCUUCUCUAGGGCCAGACAAUUCUUGCAGUCUUUUCUUCAGAGGCCUUUGGCUAAUGUGUCAUUCAAAAGGUUAUUCACUUCCCUUCCUGUCUGUAUGUCAUAUAAAGAUGUGCAUUCAA
Rhea pennata is the source of this 1812-nucleotide long non-coding RNA. RefSeq lists it as uncharacterized. NCBI's taxonomy places the organism in Eukaryota, Metazoa, Chordata, Aves, Rheiformes, Rheidae. The transcript is spliced from 2 exons. The record is from RefSeq and is a predicted model, not a curated record.